ACUCGAGCGCGCCACCCCCUCCCCGCCCCGCCUCACCGCACGCCGCCGGCGCGACCCCCGUCGCCGCACACCGCCGCCCCCCGGCCCCCCGUCGCCGCUCUCCGCCGGACCGCCCCCCGUCGCCGUCGCCGCCACCGCCUACCAUGGUCGUGCUCCGCCAACACCUACCCCACCGGCGCGCCUACCCCCAACCAAAUGCCCCCACACCCGCGGCCUUCCACCACCAGCGACCCACUGCGGCCUUCCACCGUCGGCUACUUUCGGCGUCAAGGGUUGAGGAGGCGGAUUCGGGGGCGGGCGACGCGGCGGGGGUCGCCGGUGACGAUGAGGAAGGCAGGCGUAAUUUUCCCCCUGACCCCUGCGAACCCUAGCAGCCGCACCAAUGCCACCCCGCCGCCAGGCGCCAGCCAUCGGGUCGCUUCCCUGCGCCUCCUCGCCUCCCUCUGCUCCAGGCCUCCCUCUCUCGCGCUGCUAGGAGCUGCUCCUGGUGUCUAGCAGCUGCCUUCCCCUCACUCAUCACAUCAAUCUCCUGCUCCCUCUCUCUCCAACAUCCCCCGCUGUCCUCUCGCAUCACACACAGGCGGUGGCUGUACAUAUCUGGUCGGGUGUGGCGUGUGUGGCAUCUGUGAUGUGCUUCGGCCGACCGGUUGUCCAUGCAUAGGAAGUGAAUGGUUGCAGGCAGAGGAAGCUAUUGGCCGUUGUCAGAGGAGGAUUAGGAUAGUUCCCUUCAUCUUUGUCAGAAAAUGAUAGUUCCCUUGAUUUGUUUUGUUCCGAAUUAGUACAAAAGUGCAAUGAUAUUUGUUUUGUGCCGCAGGAGCUUCAAGACGGCAGGGACCAAUUGCAACCUUCAUUUAUCUGUUCUGUGAACCAAUUUGUGAUGGCUUCUAAAUGCACUUGGCUGGAACAGAGCAAUUUUUUGGUAGUCUUCAGCCGGGAGAAGAUGGGUGCAGAGAAGAGUGAAACGGGCUCAGUCAGGUGUGAAAAGGAGAAUUUGAGAGAUAGCAACGAUGUGGUGCUGCACUGCUGCUCUCUUACUGCUAGCUUGCUACUUCUAGCUGAAUUUUGCUAUUUCUGCUAGCUGAAUUUUGCAUAGGCAUGGCGAGCUGUUUGAUUUCGUGGCAGGCCUGCUUAUCCUCAAUGUGUUCUGACUCGGAGGUUGGAGCCAGUUCGCAACUUUGAAUGUUGAAGCUGACAACGGACUCAAGCACUCCACCAUAUUCUUAGUAUUGCAUACCGUCACCGCUAAGGACUUAGCCAAGCUGCUUUUAAAAGUCAUAUAACAACUAAGUGCUAGAUAUUGUCAUAGAUAGAUUUUGGUGGAUAGGAAUUUAAUAAGCUACAAAGUAGUGUAGGUCGAGAUGAACAAAGAAUGGUAUGCAAAAUGUGUAACAUUAUUUGAUACAUUUACAUUGACAGGUCUGGACUCGCUGGAGGGUUGUAUGCUUUUGAUUGAUGAAGCUUAACACUUCUGCUCACUCAUUAUUUAUUCUAUAUUCAUAAAAUAUAUAUUUAUUUUGUACUAUAUCAUAGCAUGUUUGACGGGCAGAAGAAGAGACGGCCAUGGUGCUAGCUGAUAGCACCUGCUAACUUAAGAAGUCUACAUACCUUUUAUCUAAUAACUAAAAGAGAGUUUCUUACCAACUACUGAGCUUACAAGUCUUAGAUCUGUCUCUAAAGCCACUACUCAACUUCAUGUUGGUACUUUGCUGUAGAGUAUACCUCUAUAAUUCUCCAUCUAAGAUAGUACUAAAGUUUAUUGAUGAUGCUUAGUUUCAGGAUAUGCCUUACAAGCCAUCCAUGUGAGAUAUCCAAGGGGUUCAAGACGGAUUGAAAAGGAGCUGGAGUAGGUGGUCGAUUGAGGAAGGAGCUGGAGCAGAGGUGGAAUCGAGGCUGCCCCUACGUGCGCUAAGAAGCUGCCAGAAAUUAUGAGGCGCCUGCCAUCCGGACACUGCUGCGCUUUCUCCAUCUCUCAAGAUAAUUUUCCUCAGUUCAUCGAACUACGUGCUGAAACAUGUGUAUUGUUUCUCAAUAUAUCGGGCAUCAACCCACCUCCCAUGAGAUCUUUGAAUUUUCGACGCAUAUUACAUUUGCUGAAUUAUUUCCUCCAGAUAACUAUGCUUGGAUUCACAAAUGCGCGCAAUGCUUUCAAGUAGAGGUUAGUUCUACUUAAGCUGUGCUAUUCCACUUUCAAGUUUUUGGUCCUAGAAGUGUAAUACUUGGUAGGUUAGCUGUAGAAGCAGAAUGUAUAUGGCCUGAAUUUAUAUUUCAGAGUGUAUAAUCUGAUUCAGAGUAUUUUGACCCCUUGUGUUCUGAAACGUUGUGUUGUAUCAUUCUGUCCUGAAAGAAUAGAAGCAAUUCUUCUCUGGGAGAGAAUAUAAACGUUAUUCGCAAACAACAUGCAUCGUCAUUAAGUUUCUUAUUACCAAUUUAAACAUGGUCAGUAAUAGCACAACUAAAGUUUGUGAACAACAUAUCAUUAUGAAAUGGUUGGUUGGAUUGAGUUUUGUAUGGAUUCUACAAGGGCCAUUUCUAUGGAAUUACAAAUUAGUUUUACAUUUUUAUGGCUGGGCUCAUUGUCUUUCGAUUGCCCACAUUCGGAUGGGUUUGUUAUCAAGUGGACACCACAACCACCAUCAAUAGGGCGGGAAUGGAGGUGUGUGAUAUUUUUUUUUCCCGUUGCAACGCACGGACAUUUUUGCUAAUAUAAUAAUAAAGCACGGUGGGUUUCUGUCGUCCGUCACCCUUAUUUGCAAAAAAAGUCCCUGCUGUUUGUUCAAAUCAACCCGCAAUCCAUCUUUUAAGUCAUACCGAACUGUUUUUUUAGUUUUCUCAGAAACCCCCCCUGAUAUUUUAGGUUUUCUCAGAAACCCCCCUGAUAUUUUAGGUAAUCAACCCGAUGUCCAUAUUUAAGUCAAACGAAUCGUUUUUCUGUGUUUUAACAGAAAAACCUCUGACCUUUCGGUUAAUCAAUCCGCAGUUUAUCUAAAAAAAAAUUGUCCAUAUCUUUUAAAUCGUAACUCUGAUUUUAACAUAUUAUAUAUGAAAUUUGAUUAGAAAAAUGUGUAGAAUCCAAAUAUGUUGUUACUUUUAGCUGUUAAAUAUUUCUAAACUAUUAAUUUGGAUGCAAACUUAAUCUAUAGUGCACAAUCUGUUUUUUUUCGCACUGGCGGCGAUCCAAAUUGCAAAUAAGCACACAUU
Triticum aestivum (bread wheat) is the source of this 3198-nucleotide long non-coding RNA. RefSeq lists it as uncharacterized. The record is from RefSeq and is a predicted model, not a curated record. The transcript is spliced from 3 exons. Lineage: Eukaryota; Viridiplantae; Streptophyta; Magnoliopsida; Poales; Poaceae.